Molecule: microRNA precursor, 70 nt
Filed under: Salmo salar (Atlantic salmon)
Lineage: Eukaryota; Metazoa; Chordata; Actinopteri; Salmoniformes; Salmonidae
Description: miR-430 microRNA precursor family
Rfam family: miR-430 microRNA precursor family
Source: Rfam by way of RNAcentral
GUUGGUACCCUAACACUAGCUUUGACUUUCCUACAUAAUGCAGUAAGUGCUACUUGUUGGGGUAGUUUGA